AUAAAUCUUGAUAACCAGUAUACCAUAAUAACGAAGAGAAUAUGGUCCAGGAAGUCAUUUGGUGGAGCGAUGAUCACCUUUAUACAUUCACCCUGAAUGAAAAUUGAAACUGGAAAUCUACAAGGACUGUUGACCUCGUUGUUAAGGAUUUAUUAAUUAUCUUAUCCAAGAAGCUUGAAAGUGCUAUGGCCUUCCCUAAUGCGUAACGAGUAACCAAAUGAAAAUACAAAUUGCAUGGGACCAGACCGUGAGACUCUGUAAAUCAUGGUGGAAGUACGAGGAGUCUCCCUCUGGGAGGUCAUGACGAUGAGUAAUCCCGCGAAAUCCUGGAGACUAGGAUACACCGGUUUAUCCCUAGAUGAUGGGAUGACGUCAGUGGUGAAUAAAUAAUGCAUAUAGUAUUUAUAUAGCAUGAGCAUAUGUAUUUCUGAAGAGACCAGUUCCGAGAUUUCUACGAGGUACGAAAUACAGACGAGAUGAUCGAACCAGGGAACCCGGGGCACAUCCUGCCCAGGAUUCAGACGGUCUUUUGUCUUCUCUUCAUUUUUUGCCUCUCUCCUUUAGGCUCUUCUUUCUCUCUUUUUUUAUAUUGUUCUUAUUAUUAUACUCUUCUUUUUUUUCAUUCUCUGUCUUCUUUUUACUUUCCUCCUCGGCUCUCUUUUUGCCACGGAGAGCCAAUAAACCCAGGGAACCAGGACAGUAAAAAGAGCAUUGAGAGUUUCGCAGAGGUUCCAAGAGGGCCCCAGGAGCUGGGGUCCGGGCCCCACACGACCAGGAACGUCCACUCGGCAUGUUGGACCCCUGUUCAUCUCUCCUGGAACCAGCGAUACUUUGGUCUCACACUCAGAAGACUUGCCUCCGUCUAUACGUCCAGUGACUGUAGUAUACACUAUGCCAAAAGUGGUUGACCCUGAGAGUGCUGGCUACAAAGGACUGAUUCACCAGGGUCCCAAAGGCCCAGAACCCUCGGCCUGAGUCUACUGCCCAAUUUUGCAAGAGUCUACCCCUACCAAUGACAUAAUCCCACGGGAUUCGUUUAAGAGAACCUGUUCAAAUUGGAUAAAAAAUCAUAAGUGUAGACUUGGCCGCUUUUUUUUUUCUUGACAAAAUGGCGACCAACGUAGCCAUGCAGGAUUUCCGAAAAUCAUAAAUCAGCCAGGUACUCCACUCUGUGUACUAUCCAGUACAAGAUAUAUAUUGGGUCUCACAAUAUACAUAUAUAUACACCUAUCGGUCUGCUCCUCGCAUCCCGCGAGAUAAUACAGGCAAUUACAAAGUGGCUAUUAGCUUUAUUGCGCGCCUUGGCUCGAUUUAAAAUUACCACUUCGAUCUCAUGCAUUAUUAUACGUACUGAAGUCAACAUGCUUCUACUAAUCACAUUGCUACUUCUUCGGUAAUUGAUAUGGCAAUGUAAUUGCUAUCAUCUUCCUACACCUUUACGUUCAUUUCAAUUUCCGACUCUUAAAGAGACAAAGUACUUAUAAAGGUACUAGUUAAGUACGUUAUAAAUGCAUGGAGGGUAUCAAGAAAGAAAGAAAAAAAGAGAAAAGAGGGAAGCCACAUUUUUCAAGGAACAGGAAGUCACUCGGUUGGAUGGACGUGCGAAAAUUUCUAUUGUGCGAUGGUAAACCGCAGUAUUCGACUAUCUGCCAUUUCGAUCGUACCCGUUCACAAUGGUCUACGUACGUAAGCAUGGCGCAGCCGGUUGAAAACAAGAGUAAAAAUCGGAAAACCGGUAGGUAAGCACGUUACCACUGGGACCUAUGGAUAUCUUCCUAGGUACUUCGAUCCACCUACGCGAGAUUUCAGACAGGAUCUUCAUUCCAUAUAUUCACAAAUUUAUUGCUGAUCACCUUUAAAAAAGCUUAUAUCGUUCCUAACUUAUAGUUGGUCAUGAGCUUUGAGACUUUUGAUGCCUUUUGAAACAACUACUACUCUAUAAUUCUAUAGUAGAAUACAGUGUAGACUCUCCAUACUGUACACUCUUGCGAUGAAACCUCCUGCAAUAAAUAUAAGCUGUAAAGCACUGUUCCUGUAUAUACAAUGAAGUAGCGCGAUGAAGACGAUCUUCCUGGAUAGAGCAGGAGUUAAAGUCAAGAUGCUGGGAG
Cephus cinctus (wheat stem sawfly) is the source of this 2108-nucleotide long non-coding RNA. RefSeq lists it as uncharacterized. NCBI's taxonomy places the organism in Eukaryota, Metazoa, Arthropoda, Insecta, Hymenoptera, Cephidae. The transcript has 3 exons. The record is from RefSeq and is a predicted model, not a curated record.